RNAcentral lists this non-coding RNA (29 nucleotides) under Rattus norvegicus (Norway rat). The record is from RNAcentral. Lineage: Eukaryota; Metazoa; Chordata; Mammalia; Rodentia; Muridae.
UACUUUCUGUUAACCAGCAAAUCUCAUGA